GAUGAACGCUGGCGACGUGCCUAAUACAUGCAAGUCGAGCGAACAGAUGAGGAGCUUGCUCCUCUGACGUUAGCGGCGGACGGGUGAGUAACACGUGGAUAACCUACCUAUAAGACUGGGAUAACUUCGGGAAACCGGAGCUAAUACCGGAUAAUAUAUUGAACCGCAUGGUUCAAUAGUGAAAGACGGUUUUGCUGUCACUUAUAGAUGGAUCCGCGCCGCAUUAGCUAGUUGGCAAGGUAACGGCUUACCAAGGCAACGAUGCGUAGCCGACCUGAGAGGGUGAUCGGCCACACUGGAACUGAGACACGGUCCAGACUCCUACGGGAGGCAGCAGUAGGGAAUCUUCCGCAAUGGGCGAAAGCCUGACGGAGCAACGCCGCGUGAGUGAUGAAGGUCUUCGGAUCGUAAAACUCUGUUAUUAGGGAAGAACAAAUGUGUAAGUAACUAUGCACAUCUUGACGGUACCUAAUCAGAAAGCCACGGCUAACUACGUG
Molecule: ribosomal RNA, 497 nt
Filed under: uncultured bacterium
Lineage: Bacteria
Description: partial 16S ribosomal RNA
Rfam family: Bacterial small subunit ribosomal RNA
Source: RNAcentral